RNAcentral lists this ribosomal RNA (378 nucleotides) under Cuapetes amymone. Its description in RNAcentral is "partial 12S ribosomal RNA". The record is from RNAcentral. Lineage: Eukaryota; Metazoa; Arthropoda; Malacostraca; Decapoda; Palaemonidae.
CCCAGUUAUACUUAUCUUAGAAUAAAGUUACUUGGGUAGUAAAUAGUUAGGGGCUUGAAAUCUAAAGGAUUUGGCGGUAUUUUAGUCUUUUUAGAGGAACCUGUCCUAUAAACGAUAGUCCACGUAGAAUCUUACUUUAGUUUGUAAUCAGUUUGUAUACCGCCAUGAUUUGGUUUUAUUUUAAAAUACAUCCCAAAAUAAACUAGUAUUUAGGAUAUUAGGUCAAGGUGCAGCUGAUACUGAAGUAGUUGAUGGGUUACAAUAUAAUUUAUAUAAUAAUGGAUUAAAGGAUUAAACUUCUUUAGGAAGGUGGAUUUAAUAGUAUCUCAUUUUUAAUAAGAGAGGGAGAAGUUGCUCUAAAAUAUGUACACAUCGCCC